GUAUUAAAGGCAAUGCCUGCCCAGUGAGAAAUCUUAAACGGCCGCGGUACCCUAACCGUGCAAAGGUAGCAUAAUCACUUGUCCACUAAUUAUAGACUAGUAUGAACGGCCACAUGAGAGUCAAGCUGUCUCUUAUAGCCCAUCAGUGAAACUGAUCUUACAGUCCAAAAGCUGUAAUAUACCCAUAAGACGAGAAGACCCCGUGAAACUUAAAAACCGCCUCAGUCAACACCCCGAGGUCUUUUUUCAGUUGGGGCGACUUUGGAAAACACAAAACUUCCAAACCCAGGGAACUUUCCCCCACACCCAGGCCCACACGCCAAUUAUACGAUCCAGUAUAUCUGACAAAUGAACCAAGCUACUCCAGGGAUAACAGCGCUAUCUUCUUCAAGAGCCCAUAUCAAAAAGAAGGUUUACGACCUCGAUGUUGGAUCAGGACACCCCAGCGGCGCAGCCACUACUAAAGGUUCGUUUGUUCAACGAUUAACAGUCCUACGUGAUCUGAGUUCAGACCGGAGGGU
RNAcentral lists this ribosomal RNA (521 nucleotides) under Siagonodon sp. RNAcentral's name for it is "partial large subunit ribosomal RNA". It matches the Rfam family "Bacterial large subunit ribosomal RNA", at positions 1843 to 2624 of the family's 2925-position model. The record is from RNAcentral. Lineage: Eukaryota; Metazoa; Chordata; Lepidosauria; Squamata; Leptotyphlopidae.